Gopherus evgoodei (Goodes thornscrub tortoise) is the source of this 360-nucleotide long non-coding RNA. RefSeq lists it as uncharacterized. The transcript has 3 exons. Lineage: Eukaryota; Metazoa; Chordata; Testudines; Testudinidae. The record is from RefSeq and is a predicted model, not a curated record.
AGACUCUGAAGGUGAAAAUACCUGAGCAUUCACUCCAAAAAUCCUAGCAGUUGUGCUUAGCACCAAAAAAGAAAAGUCAUAAAUAGCUGCUGCAUGAAAUUGGAAUCUCUAACGACUAUAAGGUGAAAGAAGGACAUUGGGUUUAUAUCUCAUCCAAAGUACCACACUUCCAGAAGCAUAGAUUCUGGUAGCACCAUGCUAAGAAGUGGAUUAAGUACUGACUCAAAGGGAAGAGUGACACCUAUUGAAUAACUAACUGCCUCAAGGAGUGGGCAGAAUUAUACAUUAUCCAAGAACCUGCAAUAGCCUAGGGUUAUAAGUGUGAAUUAUUUUUCUCUUGAAUGAAUGGCACGCAACCUU